UCCCAGGUGGCUUAGUGGUAAAGAAUCUGCCUGCUAAUGCAGGAGAUACAGGUUCGAUUCCUAGAUUGGGAA
Molecule: transfer RNA, 72 nt
Filed under: Bos taurus (domestic cattle)
Lineage: Eukaryota; Metazoa; Chordata; Mammalia; Artiodactyla; Bovidae
Also listed under: 4 other names
Rfam family: tRNA
About the family: Transfer RNA (tRNA) molecules are approximately 80 nucleotides in length.
Source: Rfam by way of RNAcentral